Molecule: ribosomal RNA, 463 nt
Filed under: uncultured bacterium
Lineage: Bacteria
Description: partial 16S ribosomal RNA
Rfam family: Bacterial small subunit ribosomal RNA
Source: RNAcentral
UGGGGAAUAUUGCACAAUGGGCGAAAGCCUGAUGCAGCGACGCCGCGUGAGGGAUGACGGCCUUCGGGUUGUAAACCUCUUUCAGCAGGGAAGAAGCGAAAGUGACGGUACCUGCAGAAGAAGCGCCGGCUAACUACGUGCCAGCAGCCGCGGUAAUACGUAGGGCGCAAGCGUUGUCCGGAAUUAUUGGGCGUAAAGAGCUCGUAGGCGGUUAGUCGCGUCUGCUGUGAAAACUCGAGGCUCAACCUCGGGCUUGCAGUGGGUACGGGCUGACUAGAGUGCGGUAGGGGGUGACUGGAAUUCCUGGUGUAGCGGUGGAAUGCGCAGAUAUCAGGAGGAACACCGAUGGCGAAGGCAGGUCACUGGGCCGCAACUGACGCUGAGGAGCGAAAGCAUGGGGAGCGAACAGGAUUAGAUAGCCCUGGUAGUCCAUGCCGUAAACGUUGGGCACUAGGUGUGGGGU